Daucus carota subsp. sativus is the source of this 1161-nucleotide long non-coding RNA. RefSeq lists it as uncharacterized. The transcript has 3 exons. Lineage: Eukaryota; Viridiplantae; Streptophyta; Magnoliopsida; Apiales; Apiaceae. The record is from RefSeq and is a predicted model, not a curated record.
UUUCCCCCCUUCAGCAUUAACCCUAAUUUUGAUUUCCCCCCUUAUCUUUCUCUCCAAACUCCAAUCGGCAGGUCGACGGCCUUCCCCCUUUAUGCUUCUCUCUCUCAGAUGUCUCUCUUCUCUUCUCUUCUCUCUCUGACCAUCUAGCUUUAUUCUCUUCUCUCUGUCCAAUAUUCUCUCUCGUUGUCUCUCUUCUCUGUCCGGCUCUCUCUUCUCUUCUCUGUAGUUGUCUCUCUUCUCUUUAUCCUCUUGUUUUCUUGUUUUUCUUCUUCACUUUGUGUUGGAGUAGCCCUGUGCCUAGAGGGAGUGGCCUUUUUUGGCAGAAGCUUGAGGUUCAUCAGAAGCACUUAAAUCGACUCAACAAGCCCCCCAUCAAAUCCAUUCAGAGCCCAGAUGGGGAUACCAUUUACUUUAUUCCAAUCUCACAUCAGCCUGCUUUUGAACACCUUCUCCUUAAGGAUCAGAAUAUCUAGGCCCCCUUUUUAAUUUUUGAGAAAAUGUGCUUAAAGAGAUGACAUUUUGAGAGCAAGCUCAGUUAAAGAUAUGAUAAAAAGAAGCAUAGAUUUCUUUAUUUAUUUUCAUCCCCCUCAUCUCUCUCUCUCUGUUCUGUUUUUUUGUAAGGGGGGCUAUUUUAUUGUUUAGUUUUGACUUUCCGGAGUAGCUGCCUUGUUUGAAUCUGCCGGAAUGAUGCUCCUCCACCAGAAUCCAGGAGGAGCUCUAGAUGCUGCUGCUGUUGUAUUGCUCACUCUUUUCACUCCCUCUAGCCGCACCUCUUCUUCAUUUCUGCCGUCAGAUGAACAAAAAGCUGCUCUAUGGGGGCCUCUGGCCAACCAAGGAUGGAAAGCAUGUGUCGAUUCAGCUACUGGCCCUAGUAUUAAAUGGAGUUGUCGUCAAGAAGACAACAAAUACGGAGUAGAUCUUAAAGCCCUAUUGUCUAACACUAGGAGUUAUUAUUUUUCUUGCAACAAUUAUGGAGGUCAAACUCCAAUAAGCUGCUCUAUCUUGCAAAGGGCUUUCUGUUGGCUUCUAUCUACUCUAUAUAGGCUCUUGUUAAUUGUGUGAAACAAAUUUUUGUAUGUGAUUGUACGUUGUUACUAUAGUUGGUAAUAAAAACUUUUGUUACUAAUUUAUGGCUUGUUAAUUAUAUUCUUCAGCAUGAUU